CAGCAGCCGCGGUAAUACGUAGGGUGCAAGCGUUAAUCGGAAUUACCGGGCGUAAAGCGUGGGCAGGCGGUUUGUUAAGGCAGAUGUGAAAUCCCCGGGCUUAACCUGGGAACUGCAUUUGUGACUGGCAAGCUAGAGUAUGGCAGAGGGGGGUGGAAUUCCGCGUGUAGCAGUGAAAUGCGUAGAUAUGCGGAGGAACACCGAUGGCGAAGGCAGCCCCCUGGGCCAAUACUGACGCUCAUGCACGAAAGCGUGGGGAGCAAACAGGAUUAGAUACCCCUGUAGUCCCUGUCUCUUAUAC
Molecule: ribosomal RNA, 301 nt
Filed under: uncultured bacterium
Lineage: Bacteria
Description: partial 16S ribosomal RNA
Rfam family: Bacterial small subunit ribosomal RNA
Source: RNAcentral